UCUCAGCAGAAGCUUUCGGGUGGACGCAGGGAUAACUUAGUGGCGAACGGGUGAGUAACACGUGAGGAACCUGCCCUGGAGUGGGGGACAACAGUUGGAAACGACUGCUAAUACCGCAUAAGCCCACAGCACCGCAUGGUGCAUCGGGAAAAGGAGCAAUUCGCUUCAGGAUGGCCUCGCGUCCGAUUAGGUAGAUGGUGAGGUAACGGCCCACCAUGCCGACGAUUGGUAGCCGGACUGAGAGGUUGAACGGCCACAUUGGGACUGAGACACGGGCCAGACUCCUACGGGAGGCAGCAGUGGGGAAUAUUGCACAAUGGGGGAAACCCUGAUGCAGCGACGCCGCGUGGAGG
RNAcentral lists this ribosomal RNA (353 nucleotides) under uncultured bacterium. RNAcentral describes it as "bacterial SSU rRNA". It matches the Rfam family "Bacterial small subunit ribosomal RNA", at positions 62 to 407 of the family's 1533-position model. The record is from RNAcentral.